Peromyscus eremicus (cactus mouse) is the source of this 634-nucleotide long non-coding RNA. RefSeq lists it as uncharacterized. The record is from RefSeq and is a predicted model, not a curated record. The transcript is spliced from 3 exons. Lineage: Eukaryota; Metazoa; Chordata; Mammalia; Rodentia; Cricetidae.
CCACUGUCCUUGGGAAAUUUAUUCAGUGCCUUCACCAUUUACUGAUGAACAUGAUGGCAUACUGAAGAGUUUAAAUUGGAAAGAGAAUGGAGAGGGUAGAGAGACCAGAGAGUGACAGAGGAAAGCUGAUUUUCAGCCUCCGUGUAAAACAUCAAGGAAGAAAUGAUUGAGAGAAUGGUGCAAUGAGUUCUGUGCAGGAAAAGGGAAGCUUCAUGGAGGAAGUGGGUUUGAGCUGAAUCUUCCAGUAAUGGGGAAUAGAAAGUUGGAGUCUCUAGAAACCAACAGAACUUCCUUGCUUGUCAUGGCUCUUGAAAUUUGAGGAUUGCAGGAUAUUUAUUGUUUUGCCUCAGAAGUCAGGAACUGGUGAGAUCAAAGCUUUAUGCUGGGAACUCUUGGCUUUCAUUCCUUUUGGAGGAUAGGCAUUGGAUACAUUUAUAGGAUUCAUUGCAAUCUUUGUCUUUAGCUACCUUAAAUGCACCAAAGAAGAAUACAUUCUGAAUCUUGUCCUCAUGAAUAAAGAUUUGUCAGCAACAAAAGGGAUUCUGAGACCAGUUUAGUAAAGAGGGAGAAUCUCAUGUCUCCAGUCAUGAUAUAAAGCAAAGGAUAACCAGACUACAACCCACAGCUCCAGAGA